GUCACCACGGUACACUGAUGAACAGUGUUGGGGAAAGUUACUUUUAAAAGUAAUGUAUUAUGAUAUUGCAUUACUCCA
This is a long non-coding RNA of Sinocyclocheilus rhinocerous, 78 nucleotides long. RefSeq lists it as uncharacterized. NCBI's taxonomy places the organism in Eukaryota, Metazoa, Chordata, Actinopteri, Cypriniformes, Cyprinidae. The record is from RefSeq and is a predicted model, not a curated record. The transcript is spliced from 3 exons.